This 428-nucleotide ribosomal RNA is filed under the name uncultured bacterium. Its description in RNAcentral is "bacterial SSU rRNA". It matches the Rfam family "Bacterial small subunit ribosomal RNA", at positions 355 to 774 of the family's 1533-position model. The record is from RNAcentral.
UGAGGAAUAUUGGUCAAUGGGCGCAAGCCUGAACCAGCCAUGCCGCGUGCAGGAUGAAGCAUCUAUGGUGUGUAAACUGCUUUUGUACGGAGCGAAAAGGUCUGCUCUAAUACGGUGGGCUCAUGACGGUACCGUAAGAAUAAGCACCGGCUAACUACGUGCCAGCAGCCGCGGUAAUACGUAGGGUGCGAGCGUUAAUCGGAUUUACUGGGCGUAAAGCGUGCGUAGGCGGCUUUUUAAGUCGGAUGUGAAAUCCCCGAGCUUAACUUGGGAAUUGCAUUCGAUACUGGGAAGCUAGAGUAUGGGAGAGGAUGGUAGAAUUCCAGGUGUAGCGGUGAAAUGCGUAGAGAUCUGGAGGAACACCGAUGGCGAAGGCAAUCCCCUGGACCUGUACUGACGCUCAUGCACGAAAGCGUGGGGAGCAAACA